RNAcentral lists this ribosomal RNA (464 nucleotides) under uncultured Schwartzia sp. RNAcentral describes it as "bacterial SSU rRNA". It matches the Rfam family "Bacterial small subunit ribosomal RNA", at positions 338 to 795 of the family's 1533-position model. Lineage: Bacteria; Bacillati; Bacillota; Negativicutes; Selenomonadales; Selenomonadaceae. The record is from RNAcentral.
CCUACGGGGGGCAGCAGUGGGGAAUCUUCCGCAAUGGGCGAAAGCCUGACGGAGCAACGCCGCGUGAGUGAAGAAGGUCUUCGGAUCGUAAAGCUCUGUUGUCGGGGACGAAAGGAAAGGGGAGGCAAUGCCCCUUUCAAGACGGUACCCGACGAGGAAGCCACGGCUAACUACGUGCCAGCAGCCGCGGUAAUACGUAGGCGGCAAGCGUUGUCCGGAAUGAUUGGGCGUAAAGGGAGCGCAGGUGGGACGGUAAGUCCGUCUUAAAAGGCAGGGGCUCAGCCCCUGUAAGGGAUGGAAACUAUCGAUCUUGAGUGCCGGAGAGGAAAGCGGAAUUCCCAGUGUAGCGGUGAAAUGCGUAGAUAUUGGGAAGAACACCAGUGGCGAAGGCGGCUUUCUGGACGGCAACUGACACUGAGGCUCGAAAGCCAGGGGAGCGAACGGGAUUAGAUACCCUGGUAGUC